This 253-nucleotide ribosomal RNA is filed under the name uncultured bacterium. RNAcentral's name for it is "partial 16S ribosomal RNA". It matches the Rfam family "Bacterial small subunit ribosomal RNA", at positions 524 to 776 of the family's 1533-position model. The record is from RNAcentral.
GACAGAGGGUGCAAGCGUUGUUCGGAUUCAUUGGGCGUAAAGGGCGCGUAGGCGGCUUGGUAAGUCGAAUGUGAAAUCCCAUGGCUUAACCAUGGAAGUGCAUUCGAAACUGCUUCGCUAGAGUCUCAGAGAGGGUGGUGGAAUUCCCAGUGUAGAGGUGAAAUUCGUAGAUAUCGGGAGGAACACCAGUGGCGAAGGCGGCGACCUGGGCCAAUACUGACGCUGAGGUGCGAAAGCGUGGGGAGCAAACAGG